This 520-nucleotide ribosomal RNA is filed under the name uncultured eukaryote. RNAcentral describes it as "SSU rRNA". It matches the Rfam family "Eukaryotic small subunit ribosomal RNA", at positions 22 to 548 of the family's 1831-position model. The record is from RNAcentral.
AGUCAUAUGCUUGUCUCAAAGACUAAGCCAUGCAUGUCUAAGUAUAAGUGUUAUACAGCGAAACUGCGAAUGGCUCAUUAAAACAGUUAUAGUUUAUUUGAUAAUCGAAUUUACAUGGAUAACCGUGGUAAUUCUAGAGCUAAUACAUGCUGGUAUGCCCGUCUUUUGCGGAAGGGCGGUAUUUAUUAGAUAACAAGCCAAUAUUCCUCUGGUCUAUUGUGGUGACUCAUAAUAACUGAUCGAAUCGCAAGGCCUUUGGCCGCGAUAAAUCAUUCAAGUUUCUGCCCCAUCAGCUUUCGAUGGUAGUGUAUUGGACUACCAUGGCGUUUACGGGUAACGGAGGAUUAGGGUUCGAUUCCGGAGAGGGAGCCUGAGAAACGGCUACCACAUCUAAGGAAGGCAGCAGGCGCGUAAAUUACCCAAUCCUGACUCAGGGAGGUAGUGACAAGAAAUAACGGACCGGUUCCUUCGGAUUCGGGAUUGCAAUGAGCCGAAUUUACACCCCUUAGCGAAGAUCGAU